UGGGGAAUAUUGCACAAUGGACGGAAGUCUGAUGCAGCAACGCCGCGUGCGGGAUGACAGCCUUCGGGUUGUAAACCGCUUUUUCUCAUGACGAAGUUUUUUGACGGUAGUGGGGGAAGAAGCACCGGCUAACUACGUGCCAGCAGCCGCGGUGAUACGUAGGGUGCGAGCGUUGUCCGGAAUUAUUGGGCGUAAAGAGCUUGUAGGCGGUUUGUCGCGUCGAUAGUGCAAACUCAGUGCUUAACGCUGAGCCUGCUGUUGAUACGGGCAGACUAGAGGAAGGUAGGGGAGAAUGGAAUUCCCGGUGGAGCGGUGGAAUGCGCAGAUAUCGGGAGGAACACCGGUGGCGAAGGCGGUUCUCUGGGCCUUUCCUGACGCUGAGAAGCGAAAGCGUGGGGAGCGAACAGG
Molecule: ribosomal RNA, 408 nt
Filed under: Fusobacteriota bacterium
Lineage: Bacteria; Fusobacteriati; Fusobacteriota
Description: Fusobacteria bacterium partial 16S ribosomal RNA
Rfam family: Bacterial small subunit ribosomal RNA
Source: RNAcentral